GCAGUGGGGAAUAUUGCGCAAUGGGCGAAAGCCUGACGCAGCAACGCCGCGUGAGGGAUGAAGGCCUUCGGGUUGUAAACCUCUUUUAUCAGGGAAGAAGCGAAAGUGACGGUACCUGAAGAAAAAGCACCGGCUAACUACGUGCCAGCAGCCGCGGUAAUACGUAGGGUGCAAGCGUUAUCCGGAAUUAUUGGGCGUAAAGAGCUCGUAGGCGGUUUGUCGCGUCUGCUGUGAAAAUCUGAGGCUCAACCUCGGACUUGCAGUGGGUACGGGCAGACUAGAGUGCAGUAGGGGAGAAGGGAAUUCCUGGUGUAGCGGUGGAAUGCGCAGAUAUCAGGAGGAACACCAAUGGCGAAGGCACUUCUCUGGGCUGUAACUGACGCUGAGGAGCGAAAGCGUGGGGAGCGAA
This 409-nucleotide ribosomal RNA is filed under the name actinobacterium SCGC AAA278-N18. Its description in RNAcentral is "bacterial SSU rRNA". It matches the Rfam family "Bacterial small subunit ribosomal RNA", at positions 351 to 772 of the family's 1533-position model. The record is from RNAcentral. Lineage: Bacteria; Bacillati; Actinomycetota; Actinomycetes.